UACGUAGGGUGCAAGCGUUGUCCGGAAUUAUUGGGCGUAAAGGGCUCGUAGGCGGUUUGUCGCGUCGGGAGUGAAAUCCACUGGCUUAACUGGUGGCUUGCUUUCGAUACGGGCAGACUGGAGGUAUGCAGGGGAGAACGGAAUUCCCGGUGUAGAGGUGAAAUUCGUAGAUAUCGGGAGGAACACCGGUGGCGAAGGCGGCGAUCUGGGUAGAUACUGACGCUGAGGUGCGAAAGCGUGGGGAGCAAACAGG
RNAcentral lists this ribosomal RNA (253 nucleotides) under uncultured bacterium. Its description in RNAcentral is "partial 16S ribosomal RNA". It matches the Rfam family "Bacterial small subunit ribosomal RNA", at positions 524 to 776 of the family's 1533-position model. The record is from RNAcentral.